Molecule: long non-coding RNA, 329 nt
Organism: Xenia sp. Carnegie-2017
Lineage: Eukaryota; Metazoa; Cnidaria; Anthozoa; Malacalcyonacea; Xeniidae
Exons: 2
Source: RefSeq, a predicted model, not a curated record
UUUUGUUAAGAUGAUUACUACGAGUACGAGAACAGCUAACUCAACUUUAUUGCUUUAUUUCUUUUUAAAUUGUUCAGUAAUAAGUACAUUUUUAAGCAUUCAUUACUCAAGACUGUGUAAGCGUAGAAAACCGUGUUGUUUAGUGUCCCUUUCGUAUUGGCAUUACGAUCAUACAAUACGCAGCUGAACAAUUGAACGACGAAGCUUUUCAUAUUCUUGGUGAAUUUGAAAGAAAAAAGCUUUCGAGCAAGUAAUAAAAAUACCUGAUGAAAUGGUUGGAAUCAACAUGGCUUCUUUUACAUAGCUCAUUUGCCAAUUCACAAAUAAAA